This is a long non-coding RNA of Papaver somniferum (opium poppy), 858 nucleotides long. RefSeq lists it as uncharacterized. The record is from RefSeq and is a predicted model, not a curated record. The transcript has 5 exons. Lineage: Eukaryota; Viridiplantae; Streptophyta; Magnoliopsida; Ranunculales; Papaveraceae.
AGAAACUAAUCUUAAUCUCUCUGUUCUUCGCUUCACUCUCAGUUAGUUUAUUUCUGAAAUUUGGUUCUUCUUGAUUUUUAUUGUUUUUCUUCUUCUUCUAAAUUUGGGGAUAUUGUUUGUGAUUAGAGAUCGGAGGUUGUAGGUCUUUGUUUGGAUGCAUUUUCAAUUAAUAUACCUUAUGUUGGUAAAUUUCUCAAGGGUGCAGUUCUAGUGAAACGACCAGCUCUUCCAGAAGGAAACAAGCAAAUAUUGCUAUGUAGGUAAGUCUCUCGGAUAGAGAUAAGGAGGAUUUGGCUUGGGGAAUCUGCUAAAGAAUGCCAACACGGUAUCAGAGCUUCUAUCAGCUCAAGGUGCCUUAUGUGUACGAGGUUACUAGAAUUCACCUGAGAGGGCAGCGUAAGCUCAAAUACUUUGAAUGGUUGGAGAGACAGAUUUGACAAAUCGGCCUUUCUGACUUGAAGGAGAAAUUUCAUUUUCCUCAGGGUGCAGAUUCUGCAGUUUGGCAGAUGCUCCAUGAGGGUACCCGUUCGCUUCUGGUACAACCAGUGCCAGGAGAUCCUAACUCCACUGCUUAUGAGACAACAAAGAAAAUUGGGGGAUUCAUCUUAUUGGCGUCCUGCAUGAGUUACACACACAUUGAUAGAGACAGCGUGGAUAGGUGCAAGAAACUGAGUUAAUAUUGUGUCUUAACUAUAAGAAGGAGUCUCCUUUUAUUGUGUCUUAACUAUAAUCUCACUGAGGUGCUGAAUUGGCCUGAGAGAAAUUUUGAUUUUUUAUAUCUGUUAUUUGCUCAAUCUUGUUUAUGGAUGUCAUGGGAAUAGCAUUUUUAUCUUCUAUAAAUAUUCUUGUGUUAUAUCA